GCCUAUGCGCAAUUGCAAUCGAGAGUGGUUUGUAUCUGAAUGAUCCUUCUUUCCUUUGUGUUUGUGCAUCAAAACUCAGUGAAUGCGAAUGGUCCAUUCUCCAUUUUUGCUUCAUUUUUCCACUUUGUUGUUAGUUUGUUUCGUCAGAUCCAACAUUCACUCAAUUCAUCAGGAUCCACUAAUUCUAAAAGGGUCAGAUUCCUUCCCAUUAUUUUUGAUAAUAUUUAGGCGAAGAUGCCAGAAUCAAUAGAACUUAAUAACCCAUCUUCCUCUUUGAUGGAAGUUGAAAGUGAUGCCUCAGCAGCUGAGUCGGACUCAGUUCCUGAGCUGGAGAAGGGCCGAAAGGAUCUUUUGGAGAAGAAGGGCCUUCUGUUGAUAUGGCCAGCAAAACCAAACAAUCCCUCUGGAAGAAGAAAUCCAGGAAACGUAUGUCAACGCUCGGUCUCAAACCGUUGGUUACACCAUAAGAGGAAAGUGUCAAAACAAAAUUUGAUGAAUUUGGAAUUGAUGACAAGGAUAUCGAUUUGGUCAUUGCGUAGACAAAUUACAGUAUUGGAAAAGGAAUUGAAGGACUUGAUUAAAUCUAAUAAACAAAAAUGACUUGUCAACGCGAUCAUGGCAAAUAUUCAGUUUAAAUCCUGCAGGUUCGGGUGCAGCAAGGUUGCCCCACCACUGAACUCAACCUGUGCAGCGCUCGUAACGCGGCCAAAGGAUAAGCUCACUUACUGACAAACCUCAUAACCUGAUUAGCCUCGGAUAGGACCGGAAAUAUGGAUCAUAAAAAAGGACUGUCAAAUAAACAACGAUAUGGAAUAACGGAGUAAGAAGAGAUCGCGGACGUCUCAGGGAGAGAUUGGUUAAUUUUAGUGGCACAGAGGUUCCGAACAGGCAUUAAUACCUAACCCGUGAGAGGAAGAAGAAUAUUAUAGUUGUAAUACAAGUUUUCAGUCCAUCUCCCUCAUUGACGAAGUUUUAAUUGACGGCUCAGCAUUUGUGUCAGUCAGCUCACUCAGUUCCUGAAAGCUUUCGAUAUGCGAGAGGUGAAGAAGGGCCUUCUGUGAGCAGUGCUAUGAGCAGUUUAUUUCACGGAGAGGAUAUAAACAAUUAUCACGAAUGAUUGGAAUCUUAUCGACUACUGUACAUUGAAUUACUAUCAAGACUGAGAAGAAAUGAUACUAGACAAAUCAGCUUUACCUGAAAUCCCGUAGAUACAAGGAGUCUCAAGUGGAACAAGACGCAAUUGAAAACGUUUUGUCUUCAAGAACCAGAUGUUUUCAGUAAUCCAGGAGGCUAUUUGAUACGUGGUUUCGGUGAAGCUGAGAUAUUCAGAUGGAAUAUAUCGGACAAGGCCAGAGGCACUGCUGAAUAGUUGAAAGAACAUAAAGUGUCCGCCGCAACAGCUGCUGGAGGUUGUAAUAUGUUCGUUACUCGAAGAGGAAAGUUCCAGUUGACGAGGAAACGGUGAAGGAACCGCUGACAAUCACUUGGUGAAGUCACAAAAGAAUGUCAUAUUACAAUGAUCAUUGUGAGUAUUGGUUGAACAUGAUGCCAUAAAUAAUUAUUUACAGCUAGUUAUUUGUAGACUUUCUGUAUUUUAUAUAAAAACGUCAAGUAGCUCACAGAAAACCAACAACAAACGGUGAUGUAGAAAUAAAUCAUGGAGGAAUUUAAUAGAUAUUCAUCAAUAACUCACGAAUUACAAUUGAAUAUCUUCAAGGAAAGAACACAGAUAGGAUGCAAAGCACUAUCAUAAGUGAACUUUGUAACAUGCUAGAUGAUUAUUGUCAGGCACGAUACAGGAGGCAAAAAUGUAGACUGAAUACACAAAUAUUCAAACGUAAUAUUUUUGCUGUACUCUGUUCUGGCUUUAAGCAUAGAAACUACCUUGAUCCAAUAUUACUUGCCAAUUAAGCUUGAUCGGUAAACAGAUGCAUAAUAACAUUGGCAAAGCCGGUCUUGAUAUUUGUUUUAUUACAUUAUUUUUCAUAGGUAUCAUUCAAUUGUAAUUUGAAUAGUAACUUUAAUACUUUAGGCUUUCUUGUAAGUUAGUAGAAUUGAUGGUGAUGUUGUGAAAUCUCUCCAUAAUAAGAAAACAAAGAUAUUGUCUCCUCAGGAUUCCUCAGUACAGCUGAUGAUGCGUUGGUACUGUUUUAAUAAAUUUUUAGUGAAAUUUGACAAUAUCUUUGUUUUCCUAUUUUGUUCUAAGUGUUUAUUAGAUAGGUAGGUGUUCUAGUAUUUUGACUGGACACCAAUGACCAUGCUGUCUGGUAUUGUAAUACCCACUUACUGGUGUGUCAUGAUCUUUGUUAAUAAUUGUAAAAAGUUUAUUGUAAAGAUUUUUAUUUUUUGAAUGUUGACUAGAUAUCCAUCAGUAAUAAUAUUUAUAUAACAUUUACUGUACUGCUUAUAGAAUGAAUCCUAAAUUCAACAUAAAUUUCAAUUCAAUUUAUUUAUUUUCCAAAAAACAUGAUACAAUGUUUAAUGUGAAAUACAAUACAUUAUAGUGAGUACUAUACUAUAUACCACGUUAUAAUGGCAGUGGAGAAAGAUAGGAGAAAAACGUUGCCGACCCUCUGUCUUGUCAAUGCCUUCAAUAACUGUUUCUGAUACAGGUUUAAUUAUGUAAUAUUAACGGUCCAUUCUCGUUUAAAAUAAUCAAUUAUAUUUCAUUAAGCAAGAAAUUAUAUUUUACAAUAAUUUCAUAAUGAAUUUUCAUGAUUAAGAUAAAUAUUUUGUUAAUUAUUAAUUCUACAUUGUUAAAAGACGAUCAUGCCAACUGUGCGGUCGGGUAUAGUUAAUAUAAAUAUUAUAAAUAAUAAAUAUAAUUAAUAUAAAAACGCUCUACUUCAUCAUUUUAAAAAUACACAUUCAGUCUCCAGCGUCAGCAUUUCGCUUUUCUGUGGAGAACUUUUCAAAUGCAACAUUUGUAACAUCAUC
Long non-coding RNA from Nilaparvata lugens (brown planthopper), 2937 nucleotides. RefSeq lists it as uncharacterized. The record is from RefSeq and is a predicted model, not a curated record. NCBI's taxonomy places the organism in Eukaryota, Metazoa, Arthropoda, Insecta, Hemiptera, Delphacidae. The transcript is spliced from 7 exons.